AACGAACGCUGGCGGCAUGCCCAACACAUGCAAGUCGAACGAGAUCUUCGGGUCUAGUGGCGCACGGGUGCGUAACGCGUGGGAAUCUGCCCUUUGGUUCGGAAUAACAGUUGGAAACGACUGCUAAUACCGGAUGAUGACGAAAGUCCAAAGAUUUAUCGCCAGAGGAUGAGCCCGCGUAGGAUUAGCUAGUUGGUGUGGUAAAGGCGCACCAAGGCGACGAUCCUUAGCUGGUCUGAGAGGAUGAUCAGCCACACUGGGACUGAGACACGGCCCAGACUCCGACGGGAGGCAGCAGUGGGGAAUAUUGGACAAUGGGCGAAAGCCUGAUCCAGCAAUGCCGCGUGAGUGAUGAAGGCCUUAGGGUUGUAAGGCUCUUUUACCCGGGAUGAUAAUGACAGUACCGGGAGAAUAAGCUCCGGCUAACUCCGUGCCAGCAGCCGCCGUAA
Molecule: ribosomal RNA, 449 nt
Filed under: uncultured bacterium
Lineage: Bacteria
Description: partial 16S ribosomal RNA
Rfam family: Bacterial small subunit ribosomal RNA
Source: RNAcentral